CCUACGGGAGGCAGCAGUGGGGAAUAUUGGACAAUGGGCGAAAGCCUGAUCCAGCAAUGCCGCGUGAGUGAUGAAGGCCUUAGGGUCGUAAAGCUCUUUUACCAGGGAUGAUAAUGACAGUACCUGGAGAAUAAGCUCCGGCUAACUCCGUGCCAGCAGCCGCGGUAAUACGGAGGGAGCUAGCGUUGUUCGGAAUUACUGGGCGUAAAGCGUGCGUAGGCGGUUAUUCAAGUCAGAGGUGAAAGCCCGGGGCUCAACCCCGGAACGGCCUUUGAAACUAGAUAACUAGAAUCUUGGAGAGGUCAGUGGAAUUCCGAGUGUAGAGGUGAAAUUCGUAGAUAUUCGGAAGAACACCAGUGGCGAAGGCGACUGACUGGACAAGUAUUGACGCUGAGGUACGAAAGCGUGGGGAGCAAACAGGAUUAGAUACCCUGGUAGUCCACGCCGUAAACGAUGAUAACUAGCUGUCCGGACACUUGGUGUUUGGGUGGCGCAGCUACGACAUUAAGUUAUACCGUCCGUCGGGUAGGUACGGUCGCGAAGAAUUAAACUAACAAUAGAAUUAGACGGCGUGAGACGUGCCGACGGACGACGACGACGGGAGUAGG
Molecule: ribosomal RNA, 608 nt
Filed under: uncultured bacterium
Lineage: Bacteria
Description: bacterial SSU rRNA
Rfam family: Bacterial small subunit ribosomal RNA (bases 1-519)
Source: RNAcentral